GAUGAACGCUGGCGGUAUGCUUAACACAUGCAAGUCGAACGGACUCUUCGGAGUUAGUGGCGGACGGGUGAGUAACGCGUGAGAAUCUGGCUUUGGGUUCGGGACAACCACUGGAAACGGUGGCUAAUACCGGAUGUGCCGAGAGGUAAAAGAGAAAUUGCCUGAAGAUGAGCUCGCGUCUGAUUAGCUAGUUGGUGAGGUAAAGGCUCACCAAGGCAGCGAUCAGUAGCUGGUCUGAGAGGAUGACCAGCCACACUGGGACUGAGACACGGCCCAGACCCCUACGGCAGGAAGCAGUGGGGAAUGAUCCGCAAUAGGCGAAAGACUGACGAAGCAAUACCGCGUGAGGGAAGAAGGCUCUUGGGUUGUAAACCUCUUUUCUUAGGGAAGAACAAAAUGACGGUACCUAAGGAAUCAGCUUCGGCUAACUCCGUG
This 435-nucleotide ribosomal RNA is filed under the name uncultured bacterium. Its description in RNAcentral is "partial 16S ribosomal RNA". It matches the Rfam family "Bacterial small subunit ribosomal RNA", at positions 28 to 507 of the family's 1533-position model. The record is from RNAcentral.